RNAcentral lists this transfer RNA (75 nucleotides) under Thermoproteota archaeon. Its description in RNAcentral is "tRNA-Ile". It matches the Rfam family "tRNA". Rfam says of the family: Transfer RNA (tRNA) molecules are approximately 80 nucleotides in length. Their secondary structure includes four short double-helical elements and three loops (D, anti-codon, and T loops). Further hydrogen bonds mediate the characteristic L-shaped molecular structure. tRNAs have two regions of fundamental functional importance: the anti-codon, which is responsible for specific mRNA codon recognition, and the 3' end, to which the tRNAs corresponding amino acid is attached (by aminoacyl-tRNA synthetases). tRNAs cope with the degeneracy of the genetic code in two manners: having more than one tRNA (with a specific anti-codon) for a particular amino acid; and 'wobble' base-pairing, i.e. permitting non-standard base-pairing at the 3rd anti-codon position. RNAcentral also lists the same sequence under 1 other name. The record is from RNAcentral. Lineage: Archaea; Thermoproteati; Thermoproteota.
GGGCCGGUAGCUUAGCCUGGUUAGAGCGCCAGUCUUAUAAACUGGAGGUCGAGAGUUCGAAUCUCUCCCGGCCCA